This is a non-coding RNA of Cricetulus griseus (Chinese hamster), 1852 nucleotides long. The record is from RefSeq and is a predicted model, not a curated record. Lineage: Eukaryota; Metazoa; Chordata; Mammalia; Rodentia; Cricetidae.
CUGAGCGUGAGCAGCAUCAUUUGUUUCAAAUGCACAGACAUCUCUACCCUGUACUUGUAGGAGAGAUGCUAAAACAGUAGCAGGGUACCAAAAGGACCAAGUUGUGCUGCGGUGUUCAUGUCUGUGUCUCCUGCUCUGCUGACUGUACAGGCUAGUGGGAUAUUUAUGCCUGGUUAUCAGAACUUUUGUGUGUUCCCAUAUGGUCGUAAGUAAUCCAACUGAUGGAAAAAUGUUCUCCUUUGGAACAGUAUACUGAAAUUCCACUGGAGAGAAAUAAUCAGAUCAACCUUGAUAUCCAUAGAAUACUUUCUACAUAUGAUCUUUAACUUUAAAACCAAGAUUACGGGCUUAGCAAUGGAUAUGCAGCUGCUGCUGAUCCCCCUCAUCAUGUCCGUGCUCUACGUCUGGGCCCAGCUCAACAGAGACGUGAUUGUGUCGUUUUGGUUUGGAACACGAUUUAAGGCCUGCUAUUUACCUUGGGUUAUCCUUGGAUUCAACUAUAUCAUUGGAGGCUCGUAAGUUCUGUUAAAUUUAUUUGACUGGAAACUUAAUUCAUCUUUGUCUUUCUUUCCUAGUCUUUUAAAGACUUUAAGGAAUCUCAGUGUUGAUAUGUGAGAACCCGUGAAUAUGUCUGGGUAUGACUGCUUGCCCAGAGGACUUUAAGCACCCUGGACACUGGACGGCUAUCACUUGUUAGCUUGUCGCUACAUACAUUGUGUUUCUAGUCACGUGUCUUUGAAUAUAUGUGCCUUUCUGUAUUCAGUAUCCAUACUGAGCAAAUACAGAACUCAUUUGCCUUGAUUCCUCUUAGGAACUUGUCCACAAGAUGACUCUAUUGUGUAUUUUUAAGGCACUUCCAGAGUGCCUUGGAAAUGGUGUACUGCCUCAGAAGUGGAGAGUCUCAGAUAAGAAGAGUCUUGAACAUGGUUUGAUGGUCUAGAACUUUUGCCAGGCAGGACCAAGUUUCUACUCUCUUGCUGAGAUGUAGGAAAACCUUUCAUGUUUCCAGUCUGAGUUCAGAGAGAGGCCAUUUAGAUGGAGCCAUCCUGGGCUGGAGGGUCACACAGUGACCCUCAGUGGUCAGGAGUGGGCACUGCUCUCAAAGAGGACCCAAGUUUACUUCCAGCUCCUGAGUCGGGCAGCACACAACUGCUGUAACUUUAGCUCCAUGGGUGUCUGAUCUCUCUGGCUUGCUUGGGGGCUUGUAUCCAUGUGUACACACACAUAGGCAUGCACAUACAAUUACAAGUAAGUUUUAAAGUCUCUUCUGCCUGGUGUGGAGGGAGAGGCAGGCUCUGGGAGUUCAAGGCCAGCCUGGUCCACAUAGUGAUUUCCAGGAAAACCAUAGCUAUGUGGAGAAAAAAAAUAUGUGUCUCAAGAAAACCGAAAAAUAGCGAGAAUGUUCUUAAAAACAAAAUAACAACAACAACAAAAAACCCCACAAGCUAGAGAUAUUUUAAGAACUCCCAUUUCUUACAUUACCAAAUAUUUUCAAGUUAGAUUUUAAGAGUACUCAUCCUUUCAUGUAGCUGAUACAUUUCCCUGUGUGGUGCGUCCUCCUCCUGUGUGUGUUUCCAGGGGGCAGCGAGUGCACUAAAUACAAGGCUGAGUAGAUCACAGCACAUUUUGAGAUUGCCAAGUCCUCCUCCACCCCCAAGGGCAGAAGUUGCAGGUGUUGGUUUGCUCCGGCCAAACGGCAUGUGGGUGAAGAUGAAGAAUGACUUGUAAUAGCAGUGUGGAUGGUGAGGUGACUGUGUGAGCCUGGGGACCUGAAGAAGGCGGUACUUACUGUGGGAUGCAGGGCAAAGAAGGCGGUACUUACUGUAGGAUGUAGGCGGUACUUACUGUAGGA